Small nucleolar RNA from Salvia splendens (bonfire salvia), 222 nucleotides. RefSeq annotates it as small nucleolar RNA U3. NCBI's taxonomy places the organism in Eukaryota, Viridiplantae, Streptophyta, Magnoliopsida, Lamiales, Lamiaceae. The transcript has a single exon. The record is from RefSeq and is a predicted model, not a curated record.
ACGACCUUACUUGAACAUGAUCUGUUCUAUAGUCUCAUACCUCUGUAUCCUUGAUUUCUAAGGAGAUAGGAAACCAUGUCUGGUGGAUGAACCAUGGCUGCCUGACUAGAGCGUGAUUAACAGCCCCUCAGGUAGGGUUCCCAGCUCGUUGUGUAGUAGAGAUGAUCGUUCUUGGCUAGACUUUGGUCCGGUCAAGAUGGCAAUGCAGCUGUCUGACAGACU